GGAUUCCUGGCCCCGGGCAGGAGGGUACGGGUGCCGGCGACGGUCGCCGUGGGCGUGCGGGUACGUCCGGUCUGCGGUUCGGAAGCCGUGGCGACUCC
Molecule: transfer RNA, 98 nt
Filed under: Streptomyces olivaceoviridis
Lineage: Bacteria; Bacillati; Actinomycetota; Actinomycetes; Kitasatosporales; Streptomycetaceae
Description: tRNA-Ala
Source: RNAcentral